AUGAAUAAUAUAUUUCGUUUUUUAUUUUUACUUUUUAGCAGCCUGGGGGACUUGUGCCUGUCCUCCAGUACUUAUUUCUGAUCAGACAUACUUUGGUGGUAUCCAGAGUCCAGAUUGAUAGACUGAAGUUUCUUCUUCAGACACAGGAGUUUCUAUAACAACAAGAGAAUUCAGACAGUAACAUCAAAAGGUAUAGCACUGAAGGAAUAUGCAAGAAGCCUUCUGGACGAAGAGGUGAUUUCUUCCAUAACAAGAGUGAUUCCAUGGACAAUAUUCACCUGUCUUCUGGUGCUAAAAGAAAAGGCCUCUACUGGACCUAAGAAUGGCUAACAAAAGGCUGAAUGUCAGAGUCUUUGGGAUCGAGUCAAUCAGAUCCAUAUCUCAAGCAACUUGGAAGGAUAAUUUCCUUAUCUCUAUAUAGCUCAAUGGUGCUUACCAGCACAUUCCAAUAGCCCUAGAUCUUCAGCAUUAUCUCAGAAGAGAACUUCCCAUUUAGUGCCCUACCGUUUGGCCUCACUGUAGCCCCAAGAACCUUAUAUAUGCUUAUAGUGAUAUUGAGAGUCCAGAACACCACCUGGUUCCAUUAUCUGGAUGAUCUACUUCUGGUAGCCUCAGACCCACAGAAUGCAGGUACACAGAGGAAUAUAGUUCUAUCAGAACUCCUGAAGUUUGGCUGCUUGAUGAAUAUCAACAAAAGCAGUGUCACACCAGCUCAGAGGUUGACAUUUCUGGGUGGGACAUUCUAUGUUCUGCUUUUUCCCUAUCUCAGAAACAGUUCCACAGAUUGUGGAAGUUUCUCUUCCAGUUUCUUCAUUUUUGCUUGGUAACCGCAAGAAAGUAUAUACAGCUACUAGGAAUCCUGGCUUCCACCAUCAGACUUGUCAGAUGGGCUCAGGAUUCCUCAAAGAUCCUUCCUAUCUUGAUUCAACAAGAGAGAGAUAAAUUGGAGCCAGCCACUGACGAUGUCACAAUCACUUGAGUUACACCUUACCUGGUAGCUGAAAAGAGAGAAUAUGUCUCUGGUUUUCCAGUGAACAGAACCUCA
This is a non-coding RNA of Pelobates cultripes (western spadefoot toad), 1045 nucleotides long. Lineage: Eukaryota; Metazoa; Chordata; Amphibia; Anura; Pelobatidae. The record is from the annotation of a GenBank genome assembly.